UGGGGAAUUUUGGACAAUGGGGGCAAGCCUGAUCCAGCCAUACCGCGUGCGGGAAGAAGGCCUUCGGGUUGUAAAGAUCUUUUGUCCGGAGAGAAAAGGCUCUCUCUAAUACAGGGGGUUCAUGACGGUACCCGAAGAAUAAGCACCGGCUAAAUACGUGCCAGCAGCCGCGGUAAUAUGUAGGGUGCGAGCGUUAAUCUGAAUUAUUGGGGGUAAAGCGUGCGCAGGCGGUUUUGUAAGACAGGCGUGAAAUCUCCGGGCUCAACCUGGGAAUUGCGCUUGUGACUGCAAGGCUAGAGUACGGCAGAGGGGGGUGGAAUUCCGCGUGUAGCAGCGAAAUGCGUAGAGAUGCGGAGGAACACCGAUGGC
RNAcentral lists this ribosomal RNA (369 nucleotides) under uncultured bacterium. RNAcentral's name for it is "bacterial SSU rRNA". It matches the Rfam family "Bacterial small subunit ribosomal RNA", at positions 355 to 716 of the family's 1533-position model. The record is from RNAcentral.